Molecule: long non-coding RNA, 631 nt
Organism: Trachemys scripta elegans
Lineage: Eukaryota; Metazoa; Chordata; Testudines; Emydidae
Exons: 3
Source: RefSeq, a predicted model, not a curated record
GCAACCUGAACCUUUUGUGAUAUUUGGUGUAAAGCAACCAACUAUCAAUAAGUCCAGCUUGCCUGGGUGGCAAGAUAGACUGGAAUGCUCCAAGGGACUGUCUGUGGUGCCAAGGCCGAGGGACAGGAAGCAGGCGACGGUCAGCUGUGUGGAUCAAAGAGCUUCAUCGAGCGUUGAGGCUUUGAGGAGACAGUCGGUGAGGGGUUUGAAUUCCUAGAGACCGGAGAGUUGCCCUUGAGUCCUUCAUGGAAUGAAGUACAUCAUUCGUCGUGGAGGCAAAAAGUUUGUCGCCAUUGAAGGGGAGAUCAUUUGGACCUCCGAAGAAAGGAAGAGGACGAGAGCCAUGAACCUUGGCGCAUCACAACUGCUGUGGCAGUAGAUCUUGCUGCAGUAUUGGCCGCAUUGAGGGCAGCUUGAAGAGCUGUACAGGAGAUGAUUUGUCCCUCAGAAACUACGGCUGUAAAUUGUUGUUUUUUUCCCUCUAGAAUGUCAUCAAUAAAGUCCAUGAGUUUACUAUAAUUCUUGUGGCCAUAUUUUGCCAGAAUGGCUGUAUAAUUAACGAUGCAAAAUCAUAACAUGGAAGACGCGUAUAUCUUGCAUCCGAGCAGAUCUAAUUGCUUAUUGUCCUUGU